Molecule: ribosomal RNA, 541 nt
Filed under: uncultured bacterium
Lineage: Bacteria
Description: bacterial SSU rRNA
Rfam family: Bacterial small subunit ribosomal RNA
Source: RNAcentral
AGAGUUUGAUCAUGGCUCAGAUUGAACGCUGGCGGCAUGCCUUACACAUGCAAGUCGAACGGCAGCACGGGAGCAAUCCUGGUGGCGAGUGGCGAACGGGUGAGUAAUAUAUCGGAACGUGCCCAGUCGUGGGGGAUAACGCAGCGAAAGCUGUGCUAAUACCGCAUACGAUCUAUGGAUGAAAGCGGGGGACUCGCAAGGGCCUCGCGCGAUUGGAGCGGCCGAUAUCAGAUUAGCUAGUUGGUGGGGUAAAAGCCCACCAAGGCGACGAUCUGUAGCUGGUCUGAGAGGACGACCAGCCACACUGGAACUGAGACACGGUCCAGACUCCUACGGGAGGCAGCAGUGGGGAAUUUUGGACAAUGGGCGAAAGCCUGAUCCAGCAAUGCCGCGUGCAGGAUGAAGGCCUUCGGGUUGUAAACUGCUUUUGUACGGAACGAAACGGUCUCUUCUAAUAAAGGGGGCUAAUGACGGUACCGUAAGAAUAAGCACCGGCUAACUACGUGCCAGCAGCCGCGGUAAUACGUAGGGUGCAAGCGUU